AUUGAACGCUGGCGGCAUGCUUUACACAUGCAAGUCGAACGGUAACAGGCCGCAAGGUGCUGACGAGUGGCGAACGGGUGAGUAAUGCAUCGGAACGUGCCCAGUCGGGGGGGAUAACUAUCCGAAAGGAUAGCUAAUACCGCAUACGAUCUGCGGAUGAAAGCGGGGGAGAUUCGGGCCUCGCGCGAUUGGAGCGCCCGAUGUCAGAUUAGGUAGUUGGUGGGGUAAAGGCUCACCAAGCCAACGAUCUGUAGCUGGUCUGAGAGGACGACCAGCCACACUGGGACUGAGACACGGCCCAGACUCCUACGGGAGGCAGCAGUGGGGAAUUUUGGACAAUGGGCGCAAGCCUGAUCCAGCAAUGCCGCGUGCAGGAAGAAGGCCUUCGGGUUGUAAACUGCUUUUGUACGGAACGAAACGGCUCUGGUUAAUACCUGGGGCUAAUGACGGUACCGUAAGAAUAAGCACCGGCUAACUACGUGCCAGCCGCCGCGGUAA
RNAcentral lists this ribosomal RNA (498 nucleotides) under uncultured bacterium. RNAcentral describes it as "partial 16S ribosomal RNA". It matches the Rfam family "Bacterial small subunit ribosomal RNA", at positions 30 to 523 of the family's 1533-position model. The record is from RNAcentral.